This 275-nucleotide ribosomal RNA is filed under the name uncultured bacterium. RNAcentral's name for it is "partial 16S ribosomal RNA". It matches the Rfam family "Bacterial small subunit ribosomal RNA", at positions 335 to 607 of the family's 1533-position model. The record is from RNAcentral.
CCUCCUACGGGACGCAGCAGUGAGGAAUAUUGGUCAAUGGGCGCGAGCCUGAACCAGCCAAGUCGCGUGAGGGAUGACGGUCCUACGGAUUGUAAACCUCUUUUGCCGGGGAGCAAGCGUGCGUUCGUGAGCGCGCGUCGAGAGUACCCGGAGAAAAAGCAUCGGCUAACUCCGUGCCAGCAGCCGCGGUAAUACGGAGGAUGCGAGCGUUAUCCGGAUUUAUUGGGUUUAAGGGUGCGUAGGCGGGAUAACAAGGCAGCGGUAAAAAUGCGGUG